This 281-nucleotide ribosomal RNA is filed under the name uncultured bacterium. RNAcentral's name for it is "partial 16S ribosomal RNA". It matches the Rfam family "Archaeal small subunit ribosomal RNA", at positions 456 to 735 of the family's 1478-position model. The record is from RNAcentral.
UGCCAGCCGCCGCGGUAAUACCAGCAGUUCAAGUUGCAUCCAUUUUUAUUGGGUCUAAAACAUCCGUAGCUUGUUGUAUAAGUCUCUUGUGAAAUCCUAUGUCUCAAGCAUAGGGUUUGCAGGAGAUACUGUACAGCUAGAGAUCGGUAGGUGUGAAGAGUACGCCGAGGGUAAUGGUAAAAUAUGUUAAUCCUCGGUGGACUAACAAUGAGCGAAGGCACUUCACAAGGACGAAUCUGACAGUGAGGGAUGAAGGCCAGGGGCGCAAAACGGAUUAGAUA